GACGAACGCUGGCGGCGUGCCUAAUACAUGCAAGUCGAACGCUGAAGGAGGAGCUUGCUUCUCUGGAUGAGUUGCGAACGGGUGAGUAACGCGUAGGUAACCUGCCUGGUAGCGGGGGAUAACUAUUGGAAACGAUAGCUAAUACCGCAUAAUAGUAGAUGUUGCAUGACAUUUGCUUAAAAGGUGCAAUUGCAUCACUACCAGAUGGACCUGCGUUGUAUUAGCUAGUUGGUGGGGUAACGGCUCACCAAGGCGACGAUACAUAGCCGACCUGAGAGGGGGAUCGGCCACACUGGGACUGAGACACGGCCCAGACUCCUACGGGAGGCAGCAGUAGGGAAUCUUCGGCAAUGGACGGAAGUCUGACCGAGCAACGCCGCGUGAGUGAAGAAGGUUUUCGGAUCGUAAAGCUCUGUUGUAAGAGAAGAACGAGUGUGAGAGUGGAAAGUUCACACUGUGACGGUAUCUGACCAGAAAGGGACGGCUAACUACGUG
RNAcentral lists this ribosomal RNA (495 nucleotides) under uncultured bacterium. RNAcentral describes it as "partial 16S ribosomal RNA". It matches the Rfam family "Bacterial small subunit ribosomal RNA", at positions 28 to 507 of the family's 1533-position model. The record is from RNAcentral.